GAUGAACGCUGGCGGCGUGCCUAAUACAUGCAAGUCGAGCGAACAGACGAGGAUCUUGCGCCUCUGACGUUAGCGGCGGACGGGUGAGUAACACGUGGAUAACCUACCUAUAUGACUGGGAUAACUACGGGAAACCGGAGCUAAUACCGGAUAAUAUAUUGAACCGUGUGGGUGAAUAGUGAAAUACGGCUUUUCUGUAUCUUCUAGAGGGAUCCGCGCCGCAUGGGCGAGUUGGUAAGGUAACGGCUUACCAAGGCAACACUGGGUGGCCGAGCUGCGAGGGGGAUCGGCCACCUGGGAACUGGGACACGGUCCAGACUACUACGGGAGGGAGCAGUAGGGAAUCGUCGGCAAUGGGCGAAAGCCUGACAGAGCAAGGCCGCGUGAGUGAUGAAGGUGUUGGGAUCGUAAAACUCUGUUAUUAGGGAAGAACAAAUGUGUAAGUAACUAUGCACGUCUUGACGGUACCUAAUAAGAAAGCCACGGCUAACUACGUG
Molecule: ribosomal RNA, 497 nt
Filed under: uncultured bacterium
Lineage: Bacteria
Description: partial 16S ribosomal RNA
Rfam family: Bacterial small subunit ribosomal RNA
Source: RNAcentral